UAUAAUUCCUUAGCCACAAACCAAAGAAGUUUCCAGAGAAGGAAAAAAAGAAAGAAGCCUCAUCUCUUCUUCUUCACCAAGAAGAAAUAUUUUCCUACACCAUCCAUUAAAGCUUGAGGUUUGGGAAUUCAAGCUUCUAUUGUUUAUUAUCUACCUCUAGCAACAAUAAAAUAAGAUCGUACGGGUAUUUGGAUUGGAGAAAUAGAGAAUUUGGAGGGUUAAACAACGGGCUAUUUUAUUGUGCUUUAUGAAAUUUGGAUUAAGCGAUCGAGUGUUUUCUUUCAGGAUUAAUAUACGAUGAUGUGGUCGAGCUUCCAUUCGUUGUUUCGGAAGUCUCAGUCAUGGGAGGUCUUAUUCUUCUUAGAGCUGCAGUAGUCAUGAUAGUAGACCUAGCUAGUAGCAGACGAUUUAUGUUUAUAUUAUGACCUGCUAAAAUGAUGUAUUUUGGAAAAAAUGAAUUAUCCAGGGAUUUAAUAUAUGGUUAAUUGGUAUUUUAUACAGAGUGGUUUGUGCGUUUUUACAGGUGUGGUUUAUUAAGUUUACAGGCGUUAUAUUGCCGAUUUUUCGAAAAUGGUUUUAUUAAGUAUUAUAACGAUUUUGAAACGCGAAAAAGUUUUAGGUAAAUUUAGGCUUGCUACGGGUUUCGGAACCAAAAUUCCCAUUCCCUAGCGCCGGUCGCGGCCCUCGAUUUCGGGUCGUGACAAAUGUGGUAUCAGAGCAGUUGGUCCAGGAUACCACUGCUUUGUGUGAGUCUACCUAGGAAACUACUGCAGCACAUAGGAUUCGAGUCAUGUCUUUUGCAGGUUGUCUUCUGUUCUCUAUAGUUUCAACCUUCCUAUUUAGGAUAUAAGCCGCGAUUAUCAUGUGAUACUGCGUGCGAAUUAAAUAAUUAGUAUUUAUGCGACUUGGUGACUAGGCUUAGGUAGGAAGUAAUGUAUAGUGUGGGGAUGUUAUGAUAAGCAUACGAUAUAAGCGUUUAAGGAUGACUGAUAGAAAGGUGUAGAUUUAAAGAGCCGGAAGAACUUACCAAGUUACAGAGUUAAAGUCUGGAGAACUUACAAAGUUAAAAGUUUAUGAAUUAAAGUUAAUUGUUUAAACGAUUUUAAAAGCAUAAUUGUGCCUAGACCCGAGAUAGAAAUGCAUUAUUGCCACGACAUGAAUAGAACUGCAUCACUACAUACACAUUAAAUGGAAAGAAUAAUAAAUGAAUUCAUACAUUAGUAGGACAUGCAUCAUGCUCAUUUGGCCUAGACAAAAGGUAAGUUGUGGCAACUCUUUGGGGAUGAGAGACGUCAUCACCCUAGAGCACAAUUAUGCUAAUCUUUAAAGGAUUUGAAUGUGAUUUUUAUAAAGGGUCAUUUUCUUUGAAUUGUAAAGAUAUUUGAAUUAUUUUUUUUAGAGAUUGGUAUUAAACGUAAGUAUACCUAGACCGAAACUCUGUAACGAAGGUAAAAUGCUCGAGGUUAAGUUACAAACAACUCUAAAAGGCACGACAAACGUGUAUUAAAACACAAAAUGAAGAAUUGUGUUUUGAAUAUACAACGUUGGUAGUAGUUCAACGAACUAUAGUGGGAGUAGAAUAGUAAGGCGUAUCUAUAAGCGUUAAGCGAUGAGUUAGGAUUUUCUUAUCUGUAAAUGAGGUGUUUAGGACAUCAUGCUGUAAGAUAGUAGAUGUAUAAAGAAAGAUAGCAGAACCUAGUAAGUAAAUUGUAAGACUAAGCUAAUAGAGAUAAGGGACGAUCCUUACUAGUUACAGAAGCGAAUUUUAAGUGAUAUCAGGGAAUCGCCAAGAUUAGUAAAACUAAAGUAUAUUAAGAGUACUAAUUGGAACUCCGUAUAAAUACAAAUACUGUAAAGUAUUUGGUUAAUUAGAUUAAGAGACGAGACAUGUGUAUUAUACGGAGUAAGUUAGGAAAUUAGAUAAGCUAAUUAAGGAACUAAGAAACAAAAUUGUUAUGAGACUUAAAUCUGAAUAGCAAAGAAUGAAAGUUAUAGUACGAUAGCUAUAAAGAUUGUCGGUGACUCAUAAAGGAGAACAUGAACGCUGCAUGUGAAAGGUUAACACAUGUUUCAUGUUGCACAUGAUCCUAAGUAUAAAAUUUAAGGAUUUGUAUAUUAGGAUCAACGAAGAAAUCAAAGUAAACUAAUGUUUAAAGUAUAUAACGUAUUAAAGACGCAUGUAACUGGAUAAGAACCUUGUGAUAAGGAUAAGAAAGGGAAUAACUUAAUGCAAGAAAGAUAGAAAAUGGUGUAUAAUGCAUAUAGAGAUGUCUAGUAUAGAUUCAACUCUAUAAGAUUCGAUACGAGAGGUCAUGAAGUGGGUAAUUGACAUCAAAGAAGAAAUAUACCCAUCUACUAUAGAACAUCGAUAAGGAUAUCAUGUAUACACAUGUACAUGAUUGAACGUAAAGAAGGCGGAAGACGUUAAGGAACGUGACGUCGAACUUCGACGAAUUUAUAUAUUAAAAGAUAAGUGUUGAAACAGGAUAUGAGAAAUGACUCAUGACGGAAUAAUACAAAUUAUGAAUUUUUUUUUUAAACAAUGAAGGCGUAUGAAUAGAAAAGCUACAUGAAAGACGCAAAGGUAUGCAAACCUAAUGGAAAAGAUUGAAGUAAGGAAACUUCACAAGUAGUAAAGCUAAUUGCAGGAUAGCUAAAUCAUGUUUUAUAAUAAGUCUUAUUUAAUUAUGUGCUCGGAUCAAUGAAGUAAGACGGAAAUAUGGUAUAUGAGUUGUAAAACUUUAAGGAAGAGACAAACCAUUAAAGUAGUUGUAUAAAGUUGUAGUGGAAGAAGAAGCAUUGAGGAGCACGUAAACAUGUUAGCUGUUGACAUUAAAUUAUUAUUGAAAUUAUAAUAUAAGGUUCAGGCGUCCGCAGAAUGGAUGCAGACACUUGAUAAAGAUAUGUUGAUGGAUUAUUCAUUGUCAAGGUGAAGUGAAGGUGAAUGUGACUACGAACAUUUCAUAUGGAUUUUGGUUAUAUAUCAAGUGGGAUAAUCCAAAACUUAUAACUACGUUUGGACUAGUAGUUACUUUCAAUUAAGUUCAAAGAAUUCAACUAAAGAAACUACAUGUCAAAUUAAGAAAAGUUCGGGGUAGGUAGUUUGGACAAACUUUCCGACCUCUAACGCUUGUCAAGGUCAAUUUGAAUCUAAAUGGAAAUUGUAAAGAAAGUUACAGAGAGUGCAUUUAAAGGAAGUAAUAAACAAUUGGACGAUUUUAAGUGAUUCAUUUAAUGGUUUAAGUUUACCAUUAAAUCAUCAACAUGUUUGGAAUACAUUAACCUUAAUAAAAGUUAUUAUAUCAAAAUUUUAACAAUUAGAGUACCGCGAAUUCAUUUAUGAUUGAAGUAUUAGUUCGUUCGUGUUAGGAACGCAAUUUUACACUGAAAUUGGUUAAAGUUAAGGGAGUUUAUUGGAUUUAGAAUGUGAAAGUAAAGAGCGUAACAAGUGUUUAAGAUGGUUAUUUUGGAGGUAAUUUUGGACGUGUUCGUGAAAACUUUUUGUAAUUACUCUUAAUGCCUUGUGGAAGGAGUAUGUCAGAAAGGAUAACGACAAGCUCGGAUUAAUCCUGAAAAACAAGACCUGCCUUAGGCAAGCAGGCAAACAUUUACCCUUAAGUAAGCCUAUUAAUUAAAGGUUAAGCACAAUUCUAAUGCUAAUCUAGGAAAGCCACUUCUGGAUCAAUUUUCGAUCCCAAGAAAUGUUAUUUUGGACCUAGGACCAAAAUAAAAGUUGUAGGUAGUGCAGCAUAGAAUAAGUUUCAAGUGAUAAAUUAAAACUUGGAUAAAUUUUAGAUGCUGGUUUUGUGGCCUGAAGCGGGCUAAAAACCUAAAGUUUACAAAAUUAAGAAGAAGUGAAUUUUAGUUAGUUUGGAAAACUAACUACGUAAUACAUGGAUAACGUAAUACAAAAUAAGUAUAAGUUAGAAAAUCGUAGAAUAAAAUAUCCUAUGAGAUUAUGCCUUAAGGGGAUGGCGGAAGUAGUGAGCACUACCAAUAUUAAAAUAAUUGGAUGGUAAGCAUUAUAAGAAAAUUCGAGGACGAAUUUUUUUUUAAGGGGGGAAGAAUGUAAUGCCCCGCAUUUUUGGAGAAAUGUUUAAUUGGAUUAAACAUAUUAUUUUAGCCAAAGGGAGCUAAAAUAAGGAAAUUUUUGUAAACAAGGCGGAGAAUGGCGUUUUGACAAAGGAUUAAUUUUAAUAAAGUUGGACUAUAUAUUAGAUGAAAUUAAUUGGAUUAAAAUUUUAUCUCGUAUUUGGAUAUCGAGAUAAGCAUAUUGUUAUUUAAUGGAAAAAUUGGAGAAAUUCCCAUUAAACAAAAUAAAUGAUUUUUAAAGUGGAUAUUUAAUAUCCGCAAAUUUUAUUAUUUGGAUUAUUUUAAGAGAAUCCAUAAAUAUUUGGAAUAUUAUUUUUAGAUAGGGAUUUAAGCGCGAUAAAUAAAUUAUACGGCUAAAUAAUAAAUUUAAGGAAAAAGGCGAUAAUUAAUAUUUUGGAUUAAGAAAAGUAGUCCGUAUAAUUUAUAAUCGAUGAGAGUUUGGAUUUAGCCCGAGAAAUUUAUCGACGUACUUAAUUAAUAAAUUAAUGAAUAAAUAAAUUAAUAGGAAUUCUAAAUAACCAAAAUAAAUGGUGUAGAGCCAAAUUAUGAUAGGCCUAAUUAAUACUACAAUUUAUAAGCCCAAAAUUAAUAAUGAAAUAAAAUAAAAGCCAAGCCCAAUCCAUUCCCUUUUUGUGAUAUUAAAAACAAAUGAGCAAUAUAAUUCCUUAGCCACAAACCAAAGAAGUUUCCAGAGAAGGAAAAAAAGAAAGAAGCCUCAUCUCUUCUUCUUCACCAAGAAGAAAUAUUUUCCUACACCAUCCAUUAAAGCUUGAGGUUUGGGAAUUCAAGCUUCUAUUGUUUAUUAUCUACCUCUAGCAACAAUAAAAUAAGAUCGUACGGGUAUUUGGAUUGGAGAAAUAGAGAAUUUGGAGGGUUAAACAACGGGCUAUUUUAUUGUGCUUUAUGAAAUUUGGAUUAAGCGAUCGAGUGUUUUCUUUCAGGAUUAAUAUACGAUGAUGUGGUCGAGCUUCCAUUCGUUGUUUCGGAAGUCUCAGUCAUGGGAGGUCUUAUUCUUCUUAGAGCUGCAGUAGUCAUGACCUAGCUAGUAGCAGACGAUUUAUGUUUAUAUUAUGACCUGCUAAAAUGAUGUAUUUUGGAAAAAAUGAAUUAUCCAGGGAUUUAAUAUAUGGUUAAUUGGUAUUUUAUACAGAGUGGUUUGUGCGUUUUUACAGGUGUGGUUUAUUAAGUUUACAGGCGUUAUAUUGCCGAUUUUUCGAAAAUGGUUUUAUUAAGUAUUAUAACGAUUUUGAAACGCGAAAAAGUUUUAGGUAAAUUUAGGCUUGCUACGGGUUUCGGAACCAAAAUUCCCAUUCCCUAGCGCCGGUCGCGGCCCUCGAUUUCGGGUCGUGACAAAUGUGGUAUCAGAGCAGUUGGUCCAGGAUACCACUGCUUUGUGUGAGUCUACCUAGGAAACUACUGCAGCACAUAGGAUUCGAGUCAUGUCUUUUGCAGGUUGUCUUCUGUUCUCUAUAGUUUCAACCUUCCUAUUUAGGAUAUAAGCCGCGAUUAUCAUGUGAUACUGCGUGCGAAUUAAAUAAUUAGUAUUUAUGCGACUUGGUGACUAGGCUUAGGUAGGAAGUAAUGUAUAGUGUGGGGAUGUUAUGAUAAGCAUACGAUAUAAGCGUUUAAGGAUGACUGAUAGAAAGGUGUAGAUUUAAAGAGCCGGAAGAACUUACCAAGUUACAGAGUUAAAGUCUGGAGAACUUACAAAGUUAAAAGUUUAUGAAUUAAAGUUAAUUGUUUAAACGAUUUUAAAAGCAUAAUUGUGCCUAGACCCGAGAUAGAAAUGCAUUAUUGCCACGACAUGAAUAGAACUGCAUCACUACAUACACAUUAAAUGGAAAGAAUAAUAAAUGAAUUCAUACAUUAGUAGGACAUGCAUCAUGCUCAUUUGGCCUAGACAAAAGGUAAGUUGUGGCAACUCUUUGGGGAUGAGAGACGUCAUCACCCUAGAGCACAAUUAUGCUAAUCUUUAAAGGAUUUGAAUGUGAUUUUUAUAAAGGGUCAUUUUCUUUGAAUUGUAAAGAUAUUUGAAUUAUUUUUUUUAGAGAUUGGUAUUAAACGUAAGUAUACCUAGACCGAAACUCUGUAACGAAGGUAAAAUGCUCGAGGUUAAGUUACAAACAACUCUAAAAGGCACGACAAACGUGUAUUAAAACACAAAAUGAAGAAUUGUGUUUUGAAUAUACAACGUUGGUAGUAGUUCAACGAACUAUAGUGGGAGUAGAAUAGUAAGGCGUAUCUAUAAGCGUUAAGCGAUGAGUUAGGAUUUUCUUAUCUGUAAAUGAGGUGUUUAGGACAUCAUGCUGUAAGAUAGUAGAUGUAUAAAGAAAGAUAGCAGAACCUAGUAAGUAAAUUGUAAGACUAAGCUAAUAGAGAUAAGGGACGAUCCUUACUAGUUACAGAAGCGAAUUUUAAGUGAUAUCAGGGAAUCGCCAAGAUUAGUAAAACUAAAGUAUAUUAAGAGUACUAAUUGGAACUCCGUAUAAAUACAAAUACUGUAAAGUAUUUGGUUAAUUAGAUUAAGAGACGAGACAUGUGUAUUAUACGGAGUAAGUUAGGAAAUUAGAUAAGCUAAUUAAGGAACUAAGAAACAAAAUUGUUAUGAGACUUAAAUCUGAAUAGCAAAGAAUGAAAGUUAUAGUACGAUAGCUAUAAAGAUUGUCGGUGACUCAUAAAGGAGAACAUGAACGCUGCAUGUGAAAGGUUAACACAUGUUUCAUGUUGCACAUGAUCCUAAGUAUAAAAUUUAAGGAUUUGUAUAUUAGGAUCAACGAAGAAAUCAAAGUAAACUAAUGUUUAAAGUAUAUAACGUAUUAAAGACGCAUGUAACUGGAUAAGAACCUUGUGAUAAGGAUAAGAAAGGGAAUAACUUAAUGCAAGAAAGAUAGAAAAUGGUGUAUAAUGCAUAUAGAGAUGUCUAGUAUAGAUUCAACUCUAUAAGAUUCGAUACGAGAGGUCAUGAAGUGGGUAAUUGACAUCAAAGAAGAAAUAUACCCAUCUACUAUAGAACAUCGAUAAGGAUAUCAUGUAUACACAUGUACAUGAUUGAACGUAAAGAAGGCGGAAGACGUUAAGGAACGUGACGUCGAACUUCGACGAAUUUAUAUAUUAAAAGAUAAGUGUUGAAACAGGAUAUGAGAAAUGACUCAUGACGGAAUAAUACAAAUUAUGAAUUUUUUUUUUAAACAAUGAAGGCGUAUGAAUAGAAAAGCUACAUGAAAGACGCAAAGGUAUGCAAACCUAAUGGAAAAGAUUGAAGUAAGGAAACUUCACAAGUAGUAAAGCUAAUUGCAGGAUAGCUAAAUCAUGUUUUAUAAUAAGUCUUAUUUAAUUAUGUGCUCGGAUCAAUGAAGUAAGACGGAAAUAUGGUAUAUGAGUUGUAAAACUUUAAGGAAGAGACAAACCAUUAAAGUAGUUGUAUAAAGUUGUAGUGGAAGAAGAAGCAUUGAGGAGCACGUAAACAUGUUAGCUGUUGACAUUAAAUUAUUAUUGAAAUUAUAAUAUAAGGUUCAGGCGUCCGCAGAAUGGAUGCAGACACUUGAUAAAGAUAUGUUGAUGGAUUAUUCAUUGUCAAGGUGAAGUGAAGGUGAAUGUGACUACGAACAUUUCAUAUGGAUUUUGGUUAUAUAUCAAGUGGGAUAAUCCAAAACUUAUAACUACGUUUGGACUAGUAGUUACUUUCAAUUAAGUUCAAAGAAUUCAACUAAAGAAACUACAUGUCAAAUUAAGAAAAGUUCGGGGUAGGUAGUUUGGACAAACUUUCCGACCUCUAACGCUUGUCAAGGUCAAUUUGAAUCUAAAUGGAAAUUGUAAAGAAAGUUACAGAGAGUGCAUUUAAAGGAAGUAAUAAACAAUUGGACGAUUUUAAGUGAUUCAUUUAAUGGUUUAAGUUUACCAUUAAAUCAUCAACAUGUUUGGAAUACAUUAACCUUAAUAAAAGUUAUUAUAUCAAAAUUUUAACAAUUAGAGUACCGCGAAUUCAUUUAUGAUUGAAGUAUUAGUUCGUUCGUGUUAGGAACGCAAUUUUACACUGAAAUUGGUUAAAGUUAAGGGAGUUUAUUGGAUUUAGAAUGUGAAAGUAAAGAGCGUAACAAGUGUUUAAGAUGGUUAUUUUGGAGGUAAUUUUGGACGUGUUCGUGAAAACUUUUUGUAAUUACUCUUAAUGCCUUGUGGAAGGAGUAUGUCAGAAAGGAUAACGACAAGCUCGGAUUAAUCCUGAAAAACAAGACCUGCCUUAGGCAAGCAGGCAAACAUUUACCCUUAAGUAAGCCUAUUAAUUAAAGGUUAAGCACAAUUCUAAUGCUAAUCUAGGAAAGCCACUUCUGGAUCAAUUUUCGAUCCCAAGAAAUGUUAUUUUGGACCUAGGACCAAAAUAAAAGUUGUAGGUAGUGCAGCAUAGAAUAAGUUUCAAGUGAUAAAUUAAAACUUGGAUAAAUUUUAGAUGCUGGUUUUGUGGCCUGAAGCGGGCUAAAAACCUAAAGUUUACAAAAUUAAGAAGAAGUGAAUUUUAGUUAGUUUGGAAAACUAACUACGUAAUACAUGGAUAACGUAAUACAAAAUAAGUAUAAGUUAGAAAAUCGUAGAAUAAAAUAUCCUAUGAGAUUAUGCCUUAAGGGGAUGGCGGAAGUAGUGAGCACUACCAAUAUUAAAAUAAUUGGAUGGUAAGCAUUAUAAGAAAAUUCGAGGACGAAUUUUUUUUUAAGGGGGGAAGAAUGUAAUGCCCCGCAUUUUUGGAGAAAUGUUUAAUUGGAUUAAACAUAUUAUUUUAGCCAAAGGGAGCUAAAAUAAGGAAAUUUUUGUAAACAAGGCGGAGAAUGGCGUUUUGACAAAGGAUUAAUUUUAAUAAAGUUGGACUAUAUAUUAGAUGAAAUUAAUUGGAUUAAAAUUUUAUCUCGUAUUUGGAUAUCGAGAUAAGCAUAUUGUUAUUUAAUGGAAAAAUUGGAGAAAUUCCCAUUAAACAAAAUAAAUGAUUUUUAAAGUGGAUAUUUAAUAUCCGCAAAUUUUAUUAUUUGGAUUAUUUUAAGAGAAUCCAUAAAUAUUUGGAAUAUUAUUUUUAGAUAGGGAUUUAAGCGCGAUAAAUAAAUUAUACGGCUAAAUAAUAAAUUUAAGGAAAAAGGCGAUAAUUAAUAUUUUGGAUUAAGAAAAGUAGUCCGUAUAAUUUAUAAUCGAUGAGAGUUUGGAUUUAGCCCGAGAAAUUUAUCGACGUACUUAAUUAAUAAAUUAAUGAAUAAAUAAAUUAAUAGGAAUUCUAAAUAACCAAAAUAAAUGGUGUAGAGCCAAAUUAUGAUAGGCCUAAUUAAUACUACAAUUUAUAAGCCCAAAAUUAAUAAUGAAAUAAAAUAAAAGCCAAGCCCAAUCCAUUCCCUUUUUGUGAUAUUAAAAACAAAUGAGCAAUAUAAUUCCUUAGCCACAAACCAAAGAAGUUUCCAGAGAAGGAAAAAAAGAAAGAAGCCUCAUCUCUUCUUCUUCACCAAGAAGAAAUAUUUUCCUACACCAUCCAUUAAAGCUUGAGGUUUGGGAAUUCAAGCUUCUAUUGUUUAUUAUCUACCUCUAGCAACAAUAAAAUAAGAUCGUACGGGUAUUUGGAUUGGAGAAAUAGAGAAUUUGGAGGGUUAAACAACGGGCUAUUUUAUUGUGCUUUAUGAAAUUUGGAUUAAGCGAUCGAGUGUUUUCUUUCAGGAUUAAUAUACGAUGAUGUGGUCGAGCUUCCAUUCGUUGUUUCGGAAGUCUCAGUCAUGGGAGGUCUUAUUCUUCUUAGAGCUGCAGUAGUCAUGACCUAGCUAGUAGCAGACGAUUUAUGUUUAUAUUAUGACCUGCUAAAAUGAUGUAUUUUGGAAAAAAUGAAUUAUCCAGGGAUUUAAUAUAUGGUUAAUUGGUAUUUUAUACA
This is a long non-coding RNA of Mercurialis annua (annual mercury), 9982 nucleotides long. RefSeq lists it as uncharacterized. Lineage: Eukaryota; Viridiplantae; Streptophyta; Magnoliopsida; Malpighiales; Euphorbiaceae. The transcript is spliced from 7 exons. The record is from RefSeq and is a predicted model, not a curated record.